RNAcentral lists this ribosomal RNA (400 nucleotides) under uncultured bacterium. RNAcentral's name for it is "bacterial SSU rRNA". It matches the Rfam family "Bacterial small subunit ribosomal RNA", at positions 17 to 419 of the family's 1533-position model. The record is from RNAcentral.
UUCUGGCUCAGAAUGAACGCUGGCGGCAUGCCUAAGACAUGCAAGUCGCACGUGAAAGUAGCAAUAUGAGUAAAGUGGCGCACGGGUGAGUAAUAUUUAGGUAAUAUGCCCUUCCGCGGGGGAUAACCAGACGAAAGUUUGGCUAAUACCGCAUACAUCGACGGAAACUUCGGUUUUUGUCGGGAAAGCCGUAAGGCGCGGAAGGAGUAGCCUGAAUCCCAUUAGCUAGUUGGUAAGGUAACGGCUUACCAAGGCUUUGAUGGGUAGCUGGUCUGAGAGGACGAUCAGCCACACUGGAACUGAGACACGGUCCAGACUCCUACGGGAGGCAGCAGUUAGGAAUCUUGCGCAAUGGGAGAAAUCCUGACGCAGCGAUGCCGCGUGAGGGAUGAAGGCCUGG